Molecule: long non-coding RNA, 4456 nt
Filed under: Daucus carota (carrot)
Lineage: Eukaryota; Viridiplantae; Streptophyta; Magnoliopsida; Apiales; Apiaceae
Description: long non-coding RNA (DCAR_LNC003310)
Source: RNAcentral
GGAAAAGUACUUGAUCGAAACUAUUGGCAAGCUCCUGUAUACUGUUUCGAUGAUGCUGCUGGACAGAAGAAGAAUGCAAAUAUGGAUAUACUCAAUUCUGGUGCUGCAGUUGAAACUGGAGCUUAUUAUGAGAGUUUUUUGCGAUCACCUGGGAUGAAAUUCAAGGCAGGACUUUGAAUAUUAUGGAGUAAUGUAAUUGGAGCCGUUGGGGUGGAAUAUCAACAAAAUGGACUUUUAUGUCAUAAAGAGAAUAUGCUGGAAUUUUUUAAAAUUGGGGCCUUUAAAAUUUUAAAGCCCUGUGUUAUUGGGCUGUUUGCACACCCUAAUAGCCCGCAGGUUUGCAAUUGGCACUUGAAUAAAAAAAGAUAGCGAAUAUAAUGAAAUAUUUAAGAUUGUCCGUCUCUUAAAUACAGUAGUUAUUAGCAAGGUGAUGGUCGUAGAAAUCGGAGAAAUUAGUCAGUUGACUUAACUAUUUAGAAUUUAUCGAGUAAAUUAGAUAUUUUGGUCAAACUAAAAUCUGCCGGAUAAAUCAGUGAAAUAUUUUAUAAUCUAUAUAAAAAAUUUAGAACAGUGACUUAAAAUUCUUAGCCACUAAAAUGAGUUAGAAUUUUCAACUUAAAAUGAGUUAUGAUUAUCAAUUUCUUUGUACAAGUACGAAGUUGGCUUAUACAUAAUUUAUCUGAAUAAUACGAAUAAAUUGUUUUUAACUUAUAAAUUAGAAGUUCGAACAUAACUAAUUAUUUUAUUAGGGAUGACAAUUUCAGAUAAUAUAUCAGAUUUUCUUAUUUGAUCAUGUUUUUCGGUCUACUUUUUACUUUGUGCAUAGUACUAGAAUCUACGGAUACCAACAAGAGGUAGAGACUGAAACUUUUGCAUUCUAAGGGUGCUUGGAUCGUGAUUGGGAGUGACUCAGACUCAUGAGAACCAGAUAUGAGAAUGGGUAUCCCAAAAAAAGUUAAAUGAGAUUGGAGUUCUCAUUUUAUGUCACAAAUAGCUCAUUCAAACAUAACAUCAGUAAGUUGCCCUGAGGAUGGAGUAGUAACAUAAUAGCAUAUAAUUAUGUUAAUUGGAGUAUCAUUAAGAUCUUAACUUUACAAUCACAAAUUAUCAUUUCAUGAUUCUCUUUUUGUUUGAAAAUUAUUUACAUGUGUAGGUAUCCAAUAUUAUUUUCAACUUAAAGUAACGUUAGUUUUAGUAAAAUGAUCAAUUAAUUUUUAUACAUUUUACGGAAUACUUUUUGUAUACUAAUCUUAUAUUAGUUAUACCUAUGCAUAUGUUUCUUUUAUAAUCAUAUUUAUAUUUAUAUAUGAUUUAUAAUAUAAAAAUAUUUGUUAAUUUAAAAUUUUAUAUUACUUUUGGCAUUUUAUAUUUUAUAGAAAAUUAUAGAUAUUAAAAUUUAUUGUUAUAUUAGUUGAAAAAGUAUGAUCAUCACACAAAGAAAACUAGACAUAUGGCACAAAAAUACAAACAUUGACAUUGUUCAAAGUAACUCUAAAUUUUAAGUUGCUUAAGUGACAAUUUAAUAUAAUAAUUAAACCGUGUUCUAAAACGUAUUAAAUUUUAUGAGAGAAACUCAUAAUGAGUACUUUAAUCAAAGAUAGUGUCUCAAAAAAUUAAUUUUAUAGAUUAAAUUAUAUAUAUAUACACGUAUUAAAUUUUAUGAGGGAGACUCAUAAUGAGUACUUUAAUCAAAGAUAGUGUCUCAAAAAAUUAAUUUUAUAGAUUAAAUUAUCUAUAUAUAUAUAUAUAUAUAUAUAUAUAUUACAAGAUUAAUUUGUUUAAAUAUUAUAGUACUAUAUCAAACUUAUGAAGUUCAAAAAUAAAUAAUGAAGAGUGAGAAAGUGGACAAUAUCUGUAAUAUAAUUAUAUAAGUAUGUAUAUAUGUGUGUGUGAUCUUUAACAUUCGUCCUUAUCAUUAUUGAUGAUCGUCUAAAACAAGUAUUAACGAUCCAAAUAUUUCAUGGAUCAAGUUAGGACUUAUCUAAUCUUGAUCAAGUCGUCAGUAUAAACGUCAUUAUAUUAGUUCGAGUCGAAUCAAAUUAUAUUUAUGCAUAUCCUAAUCAGGUAUUAUGGAUAUCAUUAUGAAUUUCAAAAUUAAUUUAAAUUUAAAAUUUUAAUAAAAUCAAACAUAUUAUCAACAUUUAAACUAAAUUAUUAAUAGAAAUUUGUAAAUAAUAGAUUCUUACAUCGUCCUGGAUUCUAUGCUAGUUUCGUGUUAAAUUACCAACGAUUUUAUGACUUAUUUUAGAAUUUCACAGAAUAAUCUUUUUGAUAAAUUGUUGCUAACAAUCAAGGGACUAAUCAUCAGAAAUUUUGUAGUGUUGUAUAGAUUAUUUGUCUUUUGUCAAAAAUAUCAAUCAAGUAAUUCGUGAGACAUACUAAUAAGAGAAAAUAUCAUCCGUGUAGGUCCAAUCCUGUGUAAUAAUAGUACAAUACCAUGAAGUACUACCAAUAAAAAAUCAGCCCUGCAUUUCUUAUCCUCCCACCAGCUCAAAUAUUAUUAAACCCAAAUAAGAACCUAAAUGAUUCUCAUGGCACCCACCAGCCUCUGUUUCCUCAUUUUAUUAACCACAUCUCUAGUCUCAUCAUCAAGCCUCACCGAUCCAACUCCUAAGCCAUGGCCACUACAAUUCCACUCAACCAUGAUUGCAAAAAUCGAAAACGGCACUCAACUCGAAAUCCUCAAUUUAUGGUACGACUGGCCUAAUGGAAUCAGCAUGAGCAUUGUGCAGAAACAACUAGGAAAGCUUCUUUAUGGUCCGGAAUGGAAUAACGGCACUUCUUUUUUCUAUGCUUUGGACUCAAGUGAAGAGUGUAGAGUCACGCAGUUCGACGUGGGGAUUGUGAGACCCAACUGGAUUGAGGGUGCCAAGUACGUUGGACAAGAGUACAUGGAUGGGUUCUUGUGUAAUGUGUGGAACAAAGUGGACUUUAUUAUUUACUAUGAAGAUGUCGUGUCGAAAAGACCCGUGGCUUGGUUUUUCGUCGAAGGUAUGUAAAGCUUUUCACGUAGAGCCGUAACUGAACUGUUCGGCAAGCUUGUUCGAUUUGGUCGUGUUCGAGUUCGUAAACUCGUCUGAUAAGUUUAUCGAAAAUGAGUUUGAACACUAUUUUUCAUCUAAACUUAACGAACCGAACUGAAUUUUAGGGUGUUCAGGUCGUGUUCGGUUCGAUAAGCUCUUGUUCGGCUCGAGUUCGAUAAACUCGUGUUCGUUCGACAAUAAAUAAAAAUAUUUAUAAUAUUAUAUGUAAAUAUGAUAUAUAAUAUCCAUAAUUUAGGAUUUAAUUUUAUUUUAUAAUUGUAGAAUUAUUUAAAAUUGAUAUUGUAUAUGUUAAAAAUAUAUAAAUAAAGUAUUUGGUUUAAUUUCUUUCAUUAAAUUAAUUUAAAAAUAGCCUAAAUGUUAUUUAAAAAUAUAGAUUGUUCGCGAGCUGUUCGUGUUCGGUUCGUCUAUUACCGAACUCGAGCUCGGACAAAAAAAUUUGUUCGAUAAAGUUAUCGAACAUUGUUCGAUUUGUUAAGAUCUUGCUCAUGUUCGGUAAGAGUUCGUCGGAAUUCGGUUCAUUUACGGCUCUACUUUCAUGUGUCUUAGAAAUUAUCAGAUGUUCUUUAAAUUUUGAGUCUGAGCAAAAAUCAAACUUAUGAUUUGAAAAGAUUUCAUGGGACAACAAAAUCAAACUCAUUUUAUUAAUGAUUUUAUGAAAUUUAUAAAAUGAUGAAUUUUAAUAUCAUCUUUUAUAUUUCCUCCAUCUCAAAAUAAUAGUCUUGUUUUGAUCUGACUUAAUCAAGUUGAUAUUUGAUCAAUAAUUGCACAUACUAUAUGAUUAAAGAAAAGUUCGAAAAUCAUAUAAUUAGAAUUUAAUGUUUUCUUAAUGGAUUCCGUUAAAGUCAACUGAUACUUAACGGCGCAGUGACCAAAAUGCAAAUUUUUAUCAGUUCAGUGAGUUGACUGCAAGUUAAAUCUAGUUUUGUAAUCCGUUUGCAAGCUUUUUGAGUUCAGUGACGUAACUGCAAGUUGGUCAUGAGUUCAGUGAUCUUUUUGCCUAUUUACCCUGAAAAUAUUAGACAAUGUGAUUAUUGAAAAGUCACACAGGAGUAAAUUUUUAUUUAGAAAUUCCGGUAGCAACGACUAAAUUAAAAUGAAGACAAUAUAUUAAUUCGUUAAAAUCUAUCAAAAUUUAACGUUUUAAUUUCGAGGUUGAUAUAAUAUUUGGUGUUGCAGGAGGAGGAAGUGAACAUAUAAUGACAUUCGAAGUGGGAAAAGUACUUGAUCAAAGCUAUUGGCAAGCUCCUGUAUACUGUUUCGAUGAUGCUGCUGAACAGAAGAAGAAUGCAAAUAUGGAUAUACUCAAUUCUGGUGCUGCAGUUGAAACUGGAGCUUAUGAGAGUUUUAUGCGAUCAUCACUUGGGAUGAAACUCAAGGCUGCACUUUGAAUAUUUUUACUUCCUCGGUGCAUG